RNAcentral lists this ribosomal RNA (193 nucleotides) under uncultured bacterium. RNAcentral describes it as "partial 16S ribosomal RNA". It matches the Rfam family "Bacterial small subunit ribosomal RNA", at positions 521 to 713 of the family's 1533-position model. The record is from RNAcentral.
UAAUACGUAGGUGGCAAGCGUUGUCCGGAUUUACUGGGCGUAAAGAGCGCGCAGGCGGUCGAAUAAGUCGAAUGUGAAAGCCCCCGGCUCAACUGGGGAGGGUCAUUCGAUACUGUUCGACUUGAAGGCAGGAGAGAGAAGCAGAAUUCCCGGUGUAGUGGUGAAAUGCGUAGAUAUCGGGAGGAAUACCAGU